Molecule: ribosomal RNA, 1031 nt
Filed under: Alcaligenes faecalis
Lineage: Bacteria; Pseudomonadati; Pseudomonadota; Betaproteobacteria; Burkholderiales; Alcaligenaceae
Description: bacterial SSU rRNA
Rfam family: Bacterial small subunit ribosomal RNA
Source: RNAcentral
CAGUGGGGAAUUUUGGCAAUGGGGGAAACCCUGAUCCAGCCAUCCCGCGUGUAUGAUGAAGGCCUUCGGGUUGUAAAGUACUUUUGGCAGAGAAGAAAAGGUACCUCCUAAUACGAGGUACUGCUGACGGUAUCUGCAGAAUAAGCACCGGCUAACUACGUGCCAGCAGCCGCGGUAAUACGUAGGGUGCAAGCGUUAAUCGGAAUUACUGGGCGUAAAGCGUGUGUAGGCGGUUCGGAAAGAAAGAUGUGAAAUCCCAGGGCUCAACCUUGGAACUGCAUUUUUAACUGCCGAGCUAGAGUAUGUCAGAGGGGGGUAGAAUUCCACGUGUAGCAGUGAAAUGCGUAGAUAUGUGGAGGAAUACCGAUGGCGAAGGCAGCCCCCUGGGAUAAUACUGACGCUCAGACACGAAGCGUGGGGAGCAAACAGGAUUAGAUACCCUGGUAGUCCCCCCCCCUAACNGAUGUCAACUAGCUUUUUGGGGCCGUUAGGCCUUAUUAGCGCACCUACCCCGUGAAGUUAACCCCCUGGGGAGUACGGUCCCAAAAUUUAAACCUCAAAGGGAAUUGGCCGGGGAACCCCCCCAAGCGGGUGGAUGAUGUGGAUUAAUUNGAUGCAACGGGGAAAANCCUUACCUACCCUUGACAUGUNUGGAAAGCCGAAGAGANUUGGCCGUGCUCGCAAGAGAACCNGAACACAGGUGCUGCAUGGCUGUCGUCANUCUCGUGUCGUGAGAUGUUGGGUUAAGUCCCCGCAACGAGCGCAACCCUUGUCANUAGUUGCUACGCAAGAGCACUCUAAUGAGACUGCCGGUGACAAACCGGAGGAAGGUGGGGAUGACGUCAAGUCCUCAUGGCCCUUAUGGGUAGGGCUUCACACGUCAUACAAUGGUCGGGACAGAGGGUCGCCAACCCGCGAGGGGGAGCCAAUCUCAGAAACCCGAUCGUAGUCCGGAUCGCAGUCUGCAACUCGACUGCGUGAAGUCGGAAUCGCUAGUAAUUCGCGGAUCAGAAUGUCGCGGGAAACUUCCC